UUUAGUUAGGAAAUAAUGUAUAUUGCUAAGUGUGAUGUCUGAAAGAAGGACAAGUAUUGUAGCGAGCCUAAAUCCUUGUUAUCGUUGCCAGUAUUUAGUGGUAGGGAUUCCGAUAAGACUGCUAUUUAUAA
RNAcentral lists this unclassified non-coding RNA (131 nucleotides) under Borreliella burgdorferi (Lyme disease spirochete). Its description in RNAcentral is "partial 16S-23S ribosomal RNA intergenic spacer". The record is from RNAcentral. Lineage: Bacteria; Pseudomonadati; Spirochaetota; Spirochaetia; Spirochaetales; Borreliaceae.